This 253-nucleotide ribosomal RNA is filed under the name uncultured bacterium. RNAcentral's name for it is "partial 16S ribosomal RNA". It matches the Rfam family "Bacterial small subunit ribosomal RNA", at positions 524 to 776 of the family's 1533-position model. The record is from RNAcentral.
UCCGUAGGUGGCAAGCGUUGUCCGGAUUUACUGGGCGUAAAGAGCGCGCAGGCGGUCGUUUAAGUCGAAUGUGAAAGCCCCCGGCUCAACUGGGGAGGGUCAUUCGAUACUGAUCGACUUGAAGGCAGGAGAGGGAAGUGGAAUUCCGGGUGUAGUGGUGAAAUGCGUAGAUAUCCGGAGGAACACCAGUGGCGAAGGCGGCCUGCUGGGCAGUUGCUGACACUGAGGCGCGACAGCGUGGGGAGCAAACAGG